RNAcentral lists this long non-coding RNA (610 nucleotides) under Pan troglodytes (chimpanzee). Its description in RNAcentral is "lincRNA". Lineage: Eukaryota; Metazoa; Chordata; Mammalia; Primates; Hominidae. The record is from RNAcentral.
GGAGGUCAGAGCUCGGCGGGGUGCGGCUAGUGGCGGAGCGCGCUGCGAGGGAGGGCUUUCCACUGUCGCUGGCGUGAACUCGCGUGCCCGGCUUCACCAGGUACUGCCUUCUAACUUGAGUUGGCCAUUUCCACAUGUCAGAUAGGACCAACUUGCCUUUUAACUACCCGUGUGAUACUUAAACACUGUUGCCGGUAUCACAGCUUUUCUUCAAAACAGGGCAGUCAGUGAAGGCUCCCCAGGGGAGAUGACGUUUGAGCCGAGUUUCAGAAGAUGAUUGGAGUUUACCACGUGUUCACAGGAAGCAACGAGAAUGAGGGCAUUCCAGUAGCAGGAGACAGCAUGCAUAGAGAUGCUGAUGAAGAAAGAGCCUAGCGCACGUGGGAAACUGCAAAAGUUCAGACUGGUUGGAAUGCUGGAAAUGUUGUGAAUGACAGGAGAUGAGGCUGGUGAGAAAACAGAGGUCAGAUUGUGGAAGGCUGUCAGGCCAAAGACUUUGAUUUUAUUCUUGAGAUUGAUGAGAUGUGUGUAAUCCAGGAGUGUGCAAAACAAUCUGUAAGGGUUCAGAAAACAUACUGCUUCUAUAUAUAGUUACCUUUGUCUUAACUUG